RNAcentral lists this ribosomal RNA (497 nucleotides) under uncultured bacterium. Its description in RNAcentral is "partial 16S ribosomal RNA". It matches the Rfam family "Bacterial small subunit ribosomal RNA", at positions 28 to 507 of the family's 1533-position model. The record is from RNAcentral.
GAUGAACGCUGGCGGCGUGUCUAAUACAUGCAAGUCGAGCGAACAGACGAGGAGCUUGCUCCUCUGACGUUAGCGGCGGACGGGUGAGUAACACGUGGAUAACCUACCUAUAAGACUGGGAUAACUUCGGGAAACCGGAGCUAAUACCGGAUAAUAUAUUGAACCGCAUGGUUCAAUAGUGAAAGACGGUUUUGCUGUCACUUAUAGAUGGAUCCGCGCCGCAUUAGCUAGUUGGUAAGGUAACGGCUUACCAAGGCAACGAAGCGUAGCCGACCUGAGAGGGUGAUCGGCCACACUGGAACUGAGACACGGUCCAGACUCCUACGGGAGGCAGCAGUAGGGAAUCUUCCGCAAUGGGCGAAAGCCUGACGGAGCAACGCCGCGUGAGUGAUGAAGGUCUUCGGAUCGUAAAACUCUGUUAUUAGGGAAGAACAAAUGUGUAAGUAACUAUGCACGUCUUGACGGUACCUAAUCAGAAAGCCACGGCUAACUACGUG